RNAcentral lists this ribosomal RNA (164 nucleotides) under uncultured bacterium. RNAcentral's name for it is "partial 16S ribosomal RNA". It matches the Rfam family "Bacterial small subunit ribosomal RNA", at positions 355 to 511 of the family's 1533-position model. The record is from RNAcentral.
UAGGGAAUCUUCCACAAUGGACGCAAGUCUGAUGGAGCAACGCCGCGUGAGUGAAGAAGGGUUUCGGCUCGUAAAGCUCUGUUGUUAAAGAAGAACACGUAUGAGAGUAACUGUUCAUACGUUGACGGUAUUUAACCAGAAAGUCACGGCUAACUACGUGCCAG